This 492-nucleotide ribosomal RNA is filed under the name uncultured bacterium. Its description in RNAcentral is "partial 16S ribosomal RNA". It matches the Rfam family "Bacterial small subunit ribosomal RNA", at positions 29 to 507 of the family's 1533-position model. The record is from RNAcentral.
AGUGAACGCUGGCGGCAUGCCUUACACAUGCAAGUCGAACGGCAACAGGGUAACGGCUGGCGCUUAGUGGUGGCGGGGUGCGUAAGGGAUCGGAAUGCGUCCGGAGCUGCGGGUUCAUGCAGGAUAACGUGGGCAAACUUCCGCUGAGACCUGAUGAGGACUGCGGGUGACAACAGGGCAACGUUUGGCCUUGCGCCUUUGGAGCAGCCGAUGUCGGAUUAGGUAGUUGGGGGGGUAAAGGCCUACCAAGGCGACGAUCUGUAGCUGGUCUGAGAGGACGACCAGCCACACUGGAACUGAGACACGGCCCAGACUCCUACGGGAGGCAGCAGUGGGGAAUUUUGGACAAUGGGCGCAAGCCUGAUCCAGCAAUGCCGCGUGCGGGAAGAAGGCCUUCGGGUUGUAAACCGCUUUUGUACGGAACGAAAAGGCUCUGGCUAAUACCUGGGGCUGAUGACGGUACCGUAAGAAUAAGCACCGGCUAACUACGUG